CCGACAAUCACCACCCUCACAACCAAGCUUGAAAAGUCCAGACCGUCACUCAGAUUUUGCAAGCCACUUGUUGAUGCUCUUCUUGAAGGUUUGAGGAAGCGGUUUGAGAGCAUGAUGUCAGAGCCAGAGCUAAUUGCAGCAGCCAUACUUGUUCCAAGGUUCAAAACCUCCUGGACCAGCAAUGACACAGUCCUACAGCUUGGCCUUAGUUACAUCAAGACGCAUCUGCCAGAACAUGAUGAAGGUCUUCGGUCUCCUGAUACCACAGCAUCCUCUUCUGAAGAUGAUGACUUCUUCUCCAAUGUCAAGCCGACACAUUCCAAUGAGAUAAGUCAGCAACUUGAUGGAUACCUAGCCGCUACAGCUGAUGGAGUGAAUACACUGGCCCCCUAUCCAGCUGUGCGUAACCUCUCACUAAAGCUCAACACAGCCCUGCCAGCUUCAGCAGCGUGUGAAAGGCUUUUUAGCAUUGCUUUUUUUUUGCUUUUCACCCCAAGAAGGGGAUCAAUUCAUUCACGGAAUUUUGAGAACCAACUUCUCCUCAAGUUGAACAAGGAGUUCAUGAAAUUUGAUUGAACUGAAGUACAGUACACACACACACACACACACACACACACACACACACACACACACACACACACACACACACACACACACACACACACACACACACACACACACACACACACACACACACACAAACACACAAAA
Molecule: long non-coding RNA, 711 nt
Organism: Gadus macrocephalus (Pacific cod)
Lineage: Eukaryota; Metazoa; Chordata; Actinopteri; Gadiformes; Gadidae
Exons: 2
Source: RefSeq, a predicted model, not a curated record